UGGGGGAAUAUUGCACAAUGGGGGGAAACCCUGAUGCAGCAACGCCGCGUGAGUGAAGAAGUAUUUCGGUAUGUAAAGCUCUAUCAGCAGGGAAGAUAAUGACGGUACCUGACUAAGAAGCCCCGGCUAACUACGUGCCAGCAGCCGCGGUAAUACGUAGGGGGCAAGCGUUAUCCGGAUUUACUGGGUGUAAAGGGAGCGCAGGCGGCAGGGCAAGUCAGAUGUGAAAUACUGGGGCUCAACCCCGGGACUGCAUUUGAAACUGUCGUACUAGAGUGUCGGAGGGGUAAGUGGAAUUCCUAGUGUAGCGGUGAAAUGCGUAGAUAUUAGGAGGAACACCAGUGGCGAAGGCGGCUUACUGGACGAUAACUGACGCUGAGGCUCGAAAGCGUGGGGAGCAAACAGGAUUAGAUACCCUGGUAGU
RNAcentral lists this ribosomal RNA (424 nucleotides) under uncultured Clostridium sp. RNAcentral describes it as "bacterial SSU rRNA". It matches the Rfam family "Bacterial small subunit ribosomal RNA", at positions 354 to 794 of the family's 1533-position model. Lineage: Bacteria; Bacillati; Bacillota; Clostridia; Eubacteriales; Clostridiaceae. The record is from RNAcentral.